This is a long non-coding RNA of Cephus cinctus (wheat stem sawfly), 3911 nucleotides long. RefSeq lists it as uncharacterized. The record is from RefSeq and is a predicted model, not a curated record. NCBI's taxonomy places the organism in Eukaryota, Metazoa, Arthropoda, Insecta, Hymenoptera, Cephidae. The transcript is spliced from 3 exons.
UAUAUAUAUAUAAUAUUUUGCAUAAUAUAAUAUAGUUAGGACGCGACAAGUCAAAUUUCGUGGUUAAGUAAUGAAAUCGAAUACUGAUGUAACAUACCGACUAUUUUAUGUAUAUUAUAUGAUAUGAACUUUAUGAAAUAUUUUAUUCAUGAAACAGUCGGACUAAAAAUACACACACACAUAUAUAAAUAUACACUUUCACCGUAGAUUAAUUACUAUAUUUUGUUUUUCUAAAGAGGGCAAAGGAAGAGGCGUAGGAAACUUUUUUGUAAAUUUUCAAAGAAACAAAAUCCCUUGAGGAGGCCCAAUUAUGGAUUACCAAAAUCCAACCGUACGAUAGCAUUGAUAGCCAGAGGGUUAUUUAUUUUCUUUCUAUUCCAGUAUGAGAAAUGGAGAAAAGCGUCGAUCGGGAUUAUGUUAUGUUUGUCCCGAUACGUUUGAAGAAUGCCAGAAAACUAAUAAGAUUGCAAAAGGUUCCUCGAAUGGCUCUUUAUCCGAUUGUUUUGAUUUCUCAAUUCUUCGGGCAUUUCGAAUUACCCAAUGCACGUCAUAUUGUCGAUAUAGGUGGCAUCACGGCGCCUCGAUCACUCAUUACUGUAAAUAUUUAUCUUGCUAAUAUGAAUUGUUGACUAUCGGUGCAUACCUUUUAGUACUGUCUAGUAUGGACAGGCUGCUGGUCGUAGUUCUCUGGACUUUUGAAGAAUUCACAGCGGAAGUAAUGGAAGCCGACGUGAUGAAAAUAUUUAAAGAGCGUUCACCUACAGUCGUCGAUUCUCCUCGAUGGUCAAUUCUCAAUUUUGAAAUCUUUAGCUUCUAAGACAGAACGGAAUCCGUUGACGAAUAGUGUUUAUGAGUUGGCGCCUUUAGGCGUUCCUUACUAAUUAACCUUAAAUUCUGUUAUCGGGCGUUCUCGUUACCAACGCCCUUGUCACUAUUGCUUUGAUCAUCGUUAUCCUAAAAUUGUCUUUUAGGUGAAAACGCCAGAGACCGUUUCGACGUUUCUGGCCUGAGCUCAUAAAGUUCCUUUCGUAGAUGUGACCUCAAUUUAACGACAUGAAGCUAUUGCUGAUGAAUCGUACAUUUCUUUCCAGACGGCAGACUGGAUUUGCUUUUACUAAGCCACGAUAUAGGUAUACGGGACGUCGACGUCGGCAUCUUUUCCCUUGUCUUUAAUGCGACUGAAAGUGGCAAGGACGCGACGUAGUGACUAUUGCGUAAAUUAUUUCAACGUUUGCUGCUCGGUAAUAUAAGUUCUUGCGCAAAAUUGAACUCGCACAAGAAAGGUUGACGUCUGCAUAUAUAUGUAUGUAUAUAUAUAUAUAAAUACCACGGAGUUUUGCGAAUAGGAAUUUUGGAGCGUUCCUGUCGGAAUCAAAUUUUCAUGGCAAUUCUGAUAUCAAUGAAACAUUCCAAUCGAUGGAAUUUCAAAAUAGCGAAAGAAUGUUAUUAUUUUACAUAUAAAAACCGGUAUUGAACCUUGUACAUGGGAUACACUUGAUUUGAAUUUUAUUACGAUUAUGGGUUUGUUAUCAAAAUUAUAGGAAUAAAUAAUUAAGACCUUCGAAAUAAUGUCGAUUUCGAGAUAUUCAAUGGUUUUGCGACAACAAAUAUAUACUUCGAUGUUUUUGCGUUCUUCUGUACAUUUGGAAUUUUCCUCCUAAGAUUUCAUCGCAGACCGAGUAACCGAGCAAUACUUAAAUUUCGAGGACGUUCGAGAAUGGACAAGUCCAAGGUGCGAGGAGUCCCAUGGAUUUAUGUAUCUCGUUAAGACGACUUCCUUAAUAUUCAUGGCUUAUAAAUCCACAAUUGAAAUAAAAAGAGAUAUAUCCGAAUAACUUAGGUUAAUCGUCGUCGGCUUACUCGUUGAUCGUAUUCUCUGAUCUUUAGGCUCGUUUCUAUGCUCGGAAAGACGUCCCGGAGCACGCGACUCGCGCAACAAACAAAACUCGAGAGUCGCUCGAGCUUGAAGAUGCGCGAGCCCAUAAACGAUGAAGGUCUCACUAUGGAGAAAUGUUUGCAGCUAUACCUGAUCAGCAUACAGAAGCACCUCGUAUACACACUGCCAAGGAGAGAGACAGAGAGAAAGAGAGACAGAGAGAAAGAGAGAGAGAGAGAGAAAAAGAAGCAACUAAUAUCUAACUUUGAAACAGUGCCGAUCGUCUUCAAACAACGUAUCUACACUUCUUCCUGCGCCAUAUUGUAUUCUCUGUAUCCUCUAACCGCAUUCAAACUUAUAAAUACGCACGCGUAGACGUCAGAAGACCCGAGAUUUUUCGAGAAAAAUAAGAGACCGAUACAUGGCAUCGAGCCCAGGCUUUGCUUUGUCGAACUGACCGAAUUAUUUCAUUAAAAACUCCACGCGUAAUUCUUAGGCGGUCUAGGUUUAUAUCUACGGGUCGCCGUAUGAAAUUAGCGUCAAUGCGCAUGCGCGUUGCUAGCGCGAGUGUCUGACGAGGUUUGAAUCGAAAGAAAUUAUUACAUCGCCAUCAUUAAGUUAUAUAUCAUGAAGGUAAGUCGUCGACCGCACUUUUGACCUGCGAAAUAUAUUCGUGUGACAACGUGACACUUGAUGAUCUAUUCGAAUCAGAAAUGCAGUCGACUCUCUGUAUAAUCGUGCACCUGGGGCUUCCAGAGGCGAUAGCCAUCGAGAGAGAGAGGGCGAUAGUACGGAGAUCCGCCACUCCGUCGAUAUCACAGUGGCGUGACGGUCGAUCGGCGCUACUAGGUUAAUCAGCACGAGCUGAGUUCACGCAUGUCGUGUUUUACCGCGUGUGCUGAAAGUCGUAGAAGAGUGGGACAAACCUUUUCCUCUUGAUGCGACGGUUUAGAAAGAGAGCUGAGUGGAAAUCAGACUAUACGAAGUGCGUUUACAGGGAGGAGUCGACUGUACUAUUUUUUUGGCCAUUGUACUGUAAGAAAUAUAAGUGCGCUCGAGGGUUAAUGACAUUCUGCUUGUCAUGUUUAUUCGGUUUCAUGAUUUUGAUAAUGACUUCAUUUAAAAUAUAUAUGUAGUGAAUCGACCAGCUAUUUAUCUAAUGUAAACAAAUUUAUUCGUAUUUAUGUAAACGAUGAAAUUUUGUCGCUUUCGAGUAAAGUUCGAGUGUAAUAUUUUUUUGCAUUUUUGCAUACGUAAAUAUCGUUAACAUUUUUGCACUCUCCGAGCAUCAAUUCUGCUGUACAUUAAUUAAUGCACGAGUGCGGACGUUUGCCGUUUCCUGCUUAAUGCCGAACAGAUGCUUUCGCGACGAUACGUCACUCUUGUGUACCUAUGGAUCACGCACGUUAUUCCAAUCAUAAUUAUUCUACUUUCCACUGAAAAAAAAGCGGUUAACUCAAGAUUUUACGUCACGGAAGCAGUACGCAAAAUGAUACCUCAAAGUCAGUCGGUACGGACGUCACGUAAUAUUAUGAUUACAGUGAGCACGGAAAACAAAUGCACGUAGUACAGUUGCCCCUGUUGAAUGGCAACCGGCAAAGCGUACGCGUCAACGACAUUAAACAGAAGUCUGCAGCCAGGGAAGACGGUAUAAGCGCAACCGGUACGAUUAGACCAACGAGGGGAGCAUGCAAAUCGGCCAGAAUAAAAUUUAGAAACAGCUGGACAGACAAAGCAAACACAUGCAAAUACAUACCUAUAAAAGGAUAAACGAUAUAUGUGUAUGAAGCAAAUAAAAUAAUAUAACAAAGAAGACAUCUGUAAAAUUAAAAAUAAUCAAUGACCAAUAAUGUCACGUGGUGAUACAUACAAAGCGAGCCUGGGCGUUCAUAGAUUUAGAAGACUUACCCGUAAAACCAAGGAUUCACCUGUUGCUCCUGCCCGGGAAAGUCAGCAUGUAAAACAAUGCUCGUUAAUGUCACUAGCCGACGACAAGUUCACUGGUAGAAAGAUAGAGAGAAAAAUAACAAAAAUA